UGAGCUGGACGGAAGUUCCUGGUGCGCCGGUGAAUUCGGCCCGGGUGGAAACUGAUUAGACUUCGUAGUCAAAUUUCCAUCGCAUAAGAGGGUAUCAGGACAUGAGCCCGGAGCAGACAGCUGGCAGACGGACGGACCGCAUCUGCAUCGCCGAUGCCUGUGUGGAGCUGCAGAUGCGCUGUCUGGGUCCUCCGUCUGGAGUGAAGCCUCUCCGUACUAAACCCAGAGGAACCAUGGUCAAACCAGAUAGGUGUGCCUGUUGUGCUCAGGGCUGAGGAGCAGAGCAGCUGAGGGUGGGAGAUGGGCUGCACCUCUGCCAAGCAGGUGUCUGCCGUGCCCAGCGGGGAGGAGCGCCAGAGCAAAGCCCACAGCAACGGGGACCUCCACUCCGAUGAGUACAAGAUGAAAGGAGUGCAGAAAGUCAAGUACAUCAGCGGAGACGAAGGAGGAGUCGACGGCCAGGACAGCACAGUGC
This is a long non-coding RNA of Notothenia coriiceps (black rockcod), 475 nucleotides long. RefSeq lists it as uncharacterized. Lineage: Eukaryota; Metazoa; Chordata; Actinopteri; Perciformes; Nototheniidae. The transcript is spliced from 4 exons. The record is from RefSeq and is a predicted model, not a curated record.